This 253-nucleotide ribosomal RNA is filed under the name uncultured bacterium. RNAcentral's name for it is "partial 16S ribosomal RNA". It matches the Rfam family "Bacterial small subunit ribosomal RNA", at positions 524 to 776 of the family's 1533-position model. The record is from RNAcentral.
UACGGGGGGGGCAAGCGUUGUUCGGAAUUACUGGGCGUAAAGGGCCCGUAGGCGGCCAACUAAGUCGGAUGUGAAAUCCCCAGGCUCAACUUGGGAACUGCAUCCGAUACUGGAUGGCUUGAAUUCGGGAGAGGGAUGCAGAAUUCCAGGUGUAGCGGUGAAAUGCGUAGAUAUCUGGAGGAACACCGGUGGCGAAGGCGGCAUCCUGGACCGGCAUUGACGCUGAGGCGCGAAAGCCAGGGGAGCAAACGGG